GAUGAACGCUAGCGGCAGGCCUAACACAUGCAAGUCGAGGGGGAGGUUACUUUCGGGUAACUGAGACCGGCGUACGGGUGCGUAACGCGUAUACAAUCUGCCUUUCACUGGGGGAUAGCCCGAAGAAAUUUGGAUUAAUACUCCAUAGUAUAGUAAUACGGCAUCGUGAUGCUAUUAAAGCGUAGGUGGUGAAAGAUGAGUAUGCGUUCUAUUAGCUAGUUGGAGAGGUAACGGCUCCCCAAGGCGAUGAUAGAUAGGGGUUCUGAGAGGGAUGUCCCCCACACUGGAACUGAGAUACGGACCAGACUCCUACGGGAGGCAGCAGUGAGGAAUAUUGGACAAUGGUCGGAAGACUGAUCCAGCCAUGCCGCGUGCAGGAUGAAGGUGUUAUGGAUUGUAAACUGCUUUUGAAAGGGAAGAAUAAGGGCUACGCGUAGUUUGAUGACGGUACCUUACGAAUAAGCAUCGGCUAACUACGUG
This 480-nucleotide ribosomal RNA is filed under the name uncultured bacterium. RNAcentral's name for it is "partial 16S ribosomal RNA". It matches the Rfam family "Bacterial small subunit ribosomal RNA", at positions 28 to 507 of the family's 1533-position model. The record is from RNAcentral.